CGAAAUACAUGACCAGGCAGCCAUCCUAAUCUGGAGGGACUCUUGCUAAUGAUACCAGACACUCUUUUGUUUUCUCGACACUUACAUUGUUUACAAAAAAAGAAGGGAGGGGGAGAUGCAGAGCAAUCAAAUAGUCACACUAAGUGGACAAUUGGUAGAAUCUUUUUUCUGGUUUGCUCUUCAGUUUUGACUAAGACUAAAGCUGCU
Biomphalaria pfeifferi is the source of this 207-nucleotide non-coding RNA. The record is from the annotation of a GenBank genome assembly. Lineage: Eukaryota; Metazoa; Mollusca; Gastropoda; Planorbidae.